Long non-coding RNA from Oryza sativa Japonica Group (Japanese rice), 1646 nucleotides. RefSeq lists it as uncharacterized. The record is from RefSeq and is a predicted model, not a curated record. Lineage: Eukaryota; Viridiplantae; Streptophyta; Magnoliopsida; Poales; Poaceae.
GUCUGAUCUUGCCAUUCGUUUGCCGCAAUUGCGGUAACAGGUUCCCUGCUCAGCGAGGACCUACAUGUUCACAUUUCGCUCAAUGAGUGUCAGCGCUGAGCGCCGAUCGUCGGUGCCGUGGAAUUUUCUUGUGUUUCUUGGUUCGUGGUUGGACGCUUGAACAUUGUGUCGUUUGAUGGGUCGGACUAUGUGAACCCAAUUCUGUACUUCCUUUUACGUGUUGAGGCCGUGAGAUAGCAUAUGCGUCAACAACGCGGGUCGAACUGCCGACCCAAGAGGCGAAGAUGGUGACCAGCCGGUUCGGGGAGAGGCAGCCACCGCGACGGCUUCUUGGCGACGACGGCGGCCCCAGCGUCCACGGCGAUGGCUUCUUGGCGACGGCGGCGGCCGCAGCGUCCACGGCGAGGGCUUCUUGGCGACGGCGGCGGCCCCAGCGUCCACGGCGACUGCUUCUUGGCGACGGUGGCGGCCCCAGCGUCCACGGCGGCGGCGGCCCCAGCGUCCACGGUGACGGCGGCGCCCCCAACGUCCACGGCGACGGCUUCUUCGACGGCGGCGGCCCCAGCAUCGACGGGACCACGACGACAAAGAAGGCGUCCAAGGGUUCAUAUCGGCGGCAAGAAGGCGGCCGGAAUCCAAGAAUGCACGAGUACAACAAGAACGGCGAGAAGUUUCGGAGCGCACGAGGUCCUGGCGGGGCAACCUCAAGAACGCGACCAGAGGCCAAGAAGGCGGUUCCGAAGAUCGGAGAUGAAGAAUCACCCCGCCGAAGUCGGAGAUAGAAGCGGGGUUCUUGGCGAAUACGGCUGGAUCAAGAACGCGGCGGCAGAAAUCGGAGAUCACUGAAGUGGCGCACGGAUUCUUGCGACGGCUCCAACAGAUUGCGGAGAUCCAGUGUUUCAAGAAAAAAAAGAAUCGCCGGGCGUGUUUCAGAAAAUAAAUGGAUGAUAGAAGAUAUGCUAGAGUUGCUGCUGCUGGAGGAGGGGUAUCUGUUACAGUAAGCCACCUCCCCUUGAGCUGAAAUGACCAAUUGUAUCCCUUGUUGUGAUUGGUGUCAGUGUCAGAGAUGGAGUUCUCUGACUUGUUGACAGGUAUAUGUGCGCACAUGCCUUAUCCUCAGCCAUCCUGGUAUAGGAUGUCGGUGCCUUGCAGGAUAUGUCAAUCCAGUUAGUGUCGCGAAUGGGCCACUAGACUUGGUCGUGAGCACCGAUGACCUAACUAAGUUUAUGCUGGGAAUGGAUAUGCUGUUGAAGCAUUUCAUCAUUUACCUGGAAUAUCCAAGAGGUGCAUAUAGGGAUGAAAACGGAGCGGAUAGUUUCCGUCCGCUCCGGACAAAAACGGAUACGGAUACCUUUCGGAUCGGAUAAUUCUCGGAUAUUUCGGAUACGGAUACGAAUAUGGAUAUUUUCUCUCGGAUACGAAUACGAAUAUGGUAUCAGGGUUUCCGUCGGAUACGGAUAAUAAUUCGGAUAUCCGGUGAACAGUGCUAUUCGAAUAUCCGCAGGACCCAUGAGAUAUACCCCAUUUCUUUCUAACUCUAUAACCUUCAAUAUACCUUUAUAGAUUUUAAUAGUAGUUUAUCUCUUAACACUAGUCCAUACUAUUAAUAUUAUUUAAAUUUUAAAAAAUAUUUAUAAAUUAUACCU